RNAcentral lists this ribosomal RNA (226 nucleotides) under uncultured Acinetobacter sp. Its description in RNAcentral is "partial 16S ribosomal RNA". It matches the Rfam family "Bacterial small subunit ribosomal RNA", at positions 73 to 303 of the family's 1533-position model. The record is from RNAcentral. Lineage: Bacteria; Pseudomonadati; Pseudomonadota; Gammaproteobacteria; Moraxellales; Moraxellaceae.
GAGGUGCUUGCACCUUAUCUUAGCGGCGGACGGGUGAGUAAUGCUUAGGAAUCUGCCUAUUAGUGGGGGACAACAUUCCGAAAGGGAGCUAAUACCGCAUACGUCCUACGGGAGAAAGCAGGGGAUCUUCGGACCUUGCGCUAAUAGAUGAGCCUAAGUCGGAUUAGCUAGUUGGUGGGGUAAAGGCCUACCAAGGCGACGAUCUGUAGCGGGUCUGAGAGGAUGA